Molecule: small nuclear RNA, 55 nt
Organism: Ochotona princeps (American pika)
Lineage: Eukaryota; Metazoa; Chordata; Mammalia; Lagomorpha; Ochotonidae
Source: Ensembl
AACAUGGCCCCUGCACGAGGAAGACACACGAAUUCAUGAAGUGUUCCAUAUUUUU